Molecule: ribosomal RNA, 684 nt
Filed under: uncultured marine archaeon
Lineage: Archaea
Description: bacterial SSU rRNA
Rfam family: Archaeal small subunit ribosomal RNA
Source: RNAcentral
UGCUAUCGGAUUGAUACUAAGCCAUGCGAGUCUUUGUAGUAAUACAAGGCAGACGGCUCAGUAACACGUAGUCAAUCUAACCUAUGGACGGGGAUAACCUCGGGAAACUGAGAAUAAUACCCGAUAGAUCAUUAUGCCUGGAAUGGUUUAUGGUCGAAAUGAUUUAUCGCCGUAGGGUGGGACUGCGUUCUAUCAGCUUGUUGGUGAGGUAAUGGCCCACCAAGGCUAUAACAGAUACGGGCCCUGAGAGGAGAAGCCCGGAGAUGGGUACUGAGACACGGACCCAGGCCCUAUGGGGCGCAGCAGGCGAGAAAACUUUGCAAUGUGCGAAAGCACGACAAGGUUAAUCCGAGUGUUUUCUGCUAAAGAAAUCUUUUGUCAGUCCUAAAAACACUGAUGAAUAAGGGGUGGGCAAGUUCUGGUGUCAGCCGCCGCGGUAAAACCAGCACCUCAAGUGGUCAGGAGGAUUAUUGGGCCUAAAGCAUCCGUAGCCGGCUCUGUAAGUUUUCGGUUAAAUCUAUACGCUCAACGUAUAGGCUGCCGGGAAUACUGCAGAGCUAGGGAGUGGGAGAGGUAGACGGUACUCGGUAGGAAGGGGUAAAAUCCUUUGAUCUAUUGAUGACCACCUGUGGCGAAGGCGGUCUACUAGAACACGUCCGACGGUGAGGGAUGAAAGCUGGGGGA